GUUAUUGUGGAUAUUUUGUGUAAUAAAAGCGAGUUUAGUCGUUUAUAAUCGGAUAAAUGUUGGUUAUUCCACGUCCACUUGUUUUUCUGUCCAUCUGAUGAGUUAAGCCUGUUUCAACUGAUUUUUAUAGUCCGUUCUUAUGUUGUACUGUUAUACCACUGUCACAGGUUAGGGGUGUUGGGAUCCCGCUAACAUUUUUAACCCCGCCACAUUCUGUAUGUAUGUGCCUGUCCCAAGUCAGGAGCAUAGCUGUAAUUCAGUGGGUUUUUUGUUCAAUUUUUACAUAAAUAAGCCAUUAGUUUUCUCGUUUGAAUUGUUUUACA
Molecule: long non-coding RNA, 323 nt
Filed under: Mytilus galloprovincialis (Mediterranean mussel)
Lineage: Eukaryota; Metazoa; Mollusca; Bivalvia; Mytilida; Mytilidae
Source: RNAcentral